UGUCAUACAUAUAUUGGUUUAGCAUAAUAAUAUUGUGCUGUAUUCUCCUUUUGUUUCACUGACAAUUAUAAAUCUAUUAUUCCAUGUCAUUAAAUAUUACAAGUUCACCUUUAAUUUUAGUGUGGUAUUUUAUAAUAGCCUUAGUCUAUAAUGCAUUUAGUCUUAUAGAGAAGUAUAUAGAAACUGGUUUUGUUUUUCUUUUUGUAUAUGAUGCUGCACAAAACAUUAUUGUAUCAUCUUUUUUUGUUUUUUUCUCGUUUAUCUCAUUUUGCCUACAGAAUUUGGAUGUAAUCAAAUUUAUCUACAUAUCCGUUUACUGUUUUAUGACAUGGUUAGAAAGACUUUUCUCGGAUUCAGCUUAUAAACACUUUAACCAUUUAUUUUCUGAGAGUCUCUAGGAUCACAAGGGGAGCACACUAUUGGCUAAUUAUUGCCAAGAAUUUGACGGCAGAAAUCGAGGUCUUGUCAUGGGUGAGAUGCUGAACUAAUCAAUUCUGGGAUUACUAUAUCCCUAGACCUCUUGUAAUAUGAGAAACUACAUUUUCUUUUCUAUAUGUGCUACUUAAUUUUCUGUUGAUUAUUGACUGUGAGUAGUUGUGCCGUAAAAUGCCUUGGUGCACUUUUUUGUGUAUCUGUUCUGCUUGAGGCUCACAGGUGAAUGUGUUUGUUCUGAAUGUGGCGGACACAUUUCAUCAACUGUCAAAAUCCUGGCUACUAUCUCCUCAGAUAUUCUUUGUAACCCAUUUUCUAUUUUCUCUCCUUCUGUGACUCCAAUUAUUCAUACAUUACUUUGUUUUCUAUCAUCCCAUUGAUCUCAGAUGCACUAUUCCACAUUUUUUCUCUUUGUGUUUGGAUAACAAUCUUCAGACUUACUGACUUUUUAAUUUCUAUGACCAGUGUGUUGAUAAACCCAGAAAAUAAAGUUUCCCAUGUAAAUGUGGCUUUCA
Molecule: long non-coding RNA, 947 nt
Filed under: Oryctolagus cuniculus (rabbit)
Lineage: Eukaryota; Metazoa; Chordata; Mammalia; Lagomorpha; Leporidae
Description: lncRNA (ENSOCUG00000035877.1)
Source: RNAcentral